This 1349-nucleotide long non-coding RNA is filed under the name Homo sapiens (human). RNAcentral describes it as "HSALNT0050884". Lineage: Eukaryota; Metazoa; Chordata; Mammalia; Primates; Hominidae. The record is from RNAcentral.
GUUUUGGCUUUCUAGAGCUCGCCUGUGGCAGCAUUUCUGCAGCCGGAGAGGGAACACCCUUCCCACGGCCGCCGCCUCGGUGCCGGUUGGUGACUCAUAGCACUGGCGAGGGGCGUGGGCGGGAAACCACAUAGGCAUCACCAUGGCAUCUGACAGAUUUGCCCCUGUGGAGCUACUCUGUAAAGAAAAGGGGAAGAGGGGGCCCUUCUCCUCCUGCAAGACACCAGGCUGUGAUGGUGGUGAAGCCCCCAGACUGUCCUGCCAUGAGUCACUCUGAGUCCCGAGAAGUGGUUCCCUUCUCCCUCUCCUGGCUAGGUGUUUCUAAUUGGCAUCUCUGGCCUCCCAGCCUUGGUCUCUGCUCUGAGAUGCAGAGGCUCCAGAGCAUCUGUCCUUUUUCAGUGGCCCCAGUGCACAAGACUCGUUCCCACCCCAGGACCUAUGUAUGUACUACUCCUUCUGCCUGGAACACUCGUGCCCUGCUUUCUUCCAAGAAAAUCCUUCCGAUCAUCCAGGUCACUGCUGAAGAAUGACCUUCCAUCACCCUCUAAUCAAAAGCCACUCCCAUUGUGCUCACAUAGGGUUCUGUACAAGUCUCCCCUUGCACUUAGCCUGGAGUGGUCAUUGUGUAGUUAUCUGUGUGAUGAUGUAAUUUCUGUCUUCUCCACCAGGCUGAGAGCUCCUGUGAGUAGAGAACAUUUUUACUGUAUACGAUUACACCCUCAGAACCUAACACUGCACCUGGUAUACAGACAGUGCUCAACUGAUUGAAUGAGUAAUGGGAACAAGUCAGUGGAUGUAUGGACAUAUAGCCAGAGUGGGACGAGGUGGGGCACAGCUGCCUUUCAUGAGACAUGUGCUAUGUUGCAUGGCAUCAUACUGGUUAACCCCCCAGCGGUCCCCUGGCAUUUAAAUAAGUGAAUCCCUGCAAUGCCUGGCACAGGGGAGUGGAUCAGAAUGUGUCAGCUAGUAUUAUCAUUAUCCUCAUUUUACAGAUGAAGAAGUUGAGGCUCAGAGAGGUGAAGUGAUUUGCCCAAGGUCACUGAUAACGGUUUGGUUGUGUCCCCACCCAAAUCUCAUCUUGAAUUGUAGCUCCCAUAAUUCCCAUGUGUUGUGGGAGGGACCUAGUGGGAGAUAACUGAAUCAUGGGGGCAGUUUCCCCCAUACUGUUCUCACGGUAGUGAAUAAGUCUCACAAGAUCUGAUGGUUUUAUAAAGUGUUUCCCCUUUUGCUUGGCUUUCAUUUUCUCUUGCCUGUCACCAUGUGAGACGUGCCUUUUGCCUUCCGCCAUGAUUGUGAGGCUUCCCAGUCAUGUGGAACUGUAAGUCCAUUAAAACUCUUUCCUUUAUAAA